AGAGAAAAUCUGUGCACCAGCCUUGAACCAAACUGCUUCACCAAACUUGACACCAUUCUUUGAAAGGACUUCAGGGAACACACAGCCCAAAGCUCCAAGCAUGGCCCAUCGGCUGUGGAUUACCUCCAGCUCACGGUUCCUAGCAAAUGUCUCAGGGUCUGCGGAUAAUCCAGCAGUGUCCCAGCCAUAGUCACCAGGGAAUUCACCAGUAAGGUAUGAUGGAGUUUGCUCAGAGAAUGGUCCCAAGUACUUUGGGCGGUCUGGGCCAUACC
This is a long non-coding RNA of Quercus robur (English oak), 272 nucleotides long. RefSeq lists it as uncharacterized. Lineage: Eukaryota; Viridiplantae; Streptophyta; Magnoliopsida; Fagales; Fagaceae. The transcript has 2 exons. The record is from RefSeq and is a predicted model, not a curated record.